This 240-nucleotide unclassified non-coding RNA is filed under the name Hevea brasiliensis (rubber tree). The record is from RNAcentral. Lineage: Eukaryota; Viridiplantae; Streptophyta; Magnoliopsida; Malpighiales; Euphorbiaceae.
AAGUUCAUUCUCAUAGUUUCAAGAUAGUCUUUAGAAAAUAUGAGAGUUGAACUGUUAUCACAAACAAGCAAUACAUUAAAACCUUGGACUGCAUGAAUGGAAAAGUUGUUACUAAAUUUUCAAGUAUUUAAAGAGAAUACCGGAAGCUCUUAAUAUAAAUUUGCUUCAGCUAAAAUUAAGUUAAAAGAGAAUCUCAUUCCAUGUUAUGUUACAUACAAGAAUUAGGUUCAGAAAAGUAGU